CCAGAGUGUUUCCCUCACCCUCUCCUUCCUUCUCCCAGAGUCCAGGAAGCAACAAGAGAGGAAGUGAGUCAUUGCAGCCCUCCCUGGGCAAGAGGAACCAAUCAAGAACUGUCCCACAGACCUGCACCCUCCCCUCCCCUGACGCACUAGCACUCCAGGCAGCACAAGGGGGAGAUAAAGCUGGCCCUGUCCUCUGGCUAUUCUUAGAUUGGCUGCUUAGGAGCCCAAGUGUGAGACGGGUUCCUAUCUGAAAAUCACGGUGCACUCUUGUUGGACAGAGGAGAUGGCCUGGGUGGUAGCCAGCUGCCUUCACCCAACUCACGAAGAUCUUCACCUUCUCAGCCACCACAGAGUCAGAAGAACAAAAACAGCCGCAGAGCGGGGGUGGAGCAGGGGCAGGUCCACGGGUUACCUUGGCAACCAAAUAAGAUCACAGAUAUGAAAACAAGUAGGGACCGGCACUGUGGCCUGGUGGGUAAAGCGGCGCCUGCAAUGCCAGCAUCCCUAUGGGUGCCUGUUGAAGUCCCAGCUGCUGCGCUUCCGAUCCAGCUCUCUGCUGUGGCCUGGAAAAGCAGUGGAAGAUGGCCCAAGUCCUUGGGGCACCCAAGGGGCACCUGCAUGGGAGACCCAGAAGAAGCUCCUGGCUCGAUAUCAGCUCAGCUCUGGCCGUUGUGGCCCUUUGGGAGUGAAGCAGCGGAUGGAAGACCUUUCUCUGCUUCUCCUUCUCU
Oryctolagus cuniculus (rabbit) is the source of this 728-nucleotide non-coding RNA. The record is from RefSeq and is a predicted model, not a curated record. NCBI's taxonomy places the organism in Eukaryota, Metazoa, Chordata, Mammalia, Lagomorpha, Leporidae.